Cyprinus carpio (common carp) is the source of this 337-nucleotide long non-coding RNA. RefSeq lists it as uncharacterized. The transcript has 3 exons. The record is from RefSeq and is a predicted model, not a curated record. NCBI's taxonomy places the organism in Eukaryota, Metazoa, Chordata, Actinopteri, Cypriniformes, Cyprinidae.
AAAAAAAACGCUUAAUGCAUAGCUAUAGUUGUGGAAAUUCUGAAAAAUACAUAUGUCUUGAGGAUCUGGAGGUAGCUCAUGCGGAGGUGGACCCUUGUGGAGAUGGGUAGUCAGCAGCAGAGGGCGCUGUGUGCUCAGACUUUUUGAGUAUGAUGAGCUCAAAACCAAGAAGAACGUCCGUCACGACCUGGUCACGACCCAACCUUAUGGGUGGUAUAUAAAACACAGUGUGGAUUCAGCAGCAUGGCAGAAAGGUGUUUUGUAUGGUAAUGGGCAGAAUCUGGCCAGACAACUAAUGGAAGCUCCAGCCAAUCACAUCACUCCCACAGUGUUCACA